AAGCAGGAUAAGUUACAGUGCAUUUUGUUCAGUACUGCUCUGUCGUUCCCCCUGCACACAGAAACCUGUCUCCUCGCUAUCCCGGUCUGCCUGCAUCCCACGGCUGACGGGGACGCAUGGUCUCAGACAU
RNAcentral lists this small nucleolar RNA (130 nucleotides) under Hucho hucho (huchen). RNAcentral describes it as "Small nucleolar RNA SNORA63 (ENSHHUG00000033004.1)". Lineage: Eukaryota; Metazoa; Chordata; Actinopteri; Salmoniformes; Salmonidae. The record is from RNAcentral.